UGAUAACUGGGAGUUAGAGCUUGUGACUCCAGGCUACUGGAAUCCUGUAACUGUUGCACUGCUGUGAACUGACUCUGCUGGCCAAAGCUAUCGGUUAUGGUAAAACCUAGCACAAAAAAAUAAUGGCUACAAGAGAGCAAUCAAAUCCAGCACUUCAGAUGUCACAAAUCACAACAGAAGAGAGAGCAAGCAAAUGAAGAAAACUGGCUGACACAUCUCAUAGCUGCCAGAAACAACUGGGGCAAACUAAAAAGUUGAGACUGUGAAUGAGAGAGAAGGAUUUGGGUGACUCGGGACAAUCACAACCUGGACAUGGCUUGUCGAAGGUGGUGGAUGACCAGAAGAAACCUUGGGAAGUUCAGCCUUAAAAUGACAGAGACACAGACUAUAAUUCCAGCAUUCAUAGCGCAGAGGUAGGAAUGAAGGUGGAAGAAAGUUGCCCUGGUGAUGGAUUGGAUGCAGAGAAGAAAGCUCAGCUCAGCUUAGUCCAUUUAACUAAUGGGUUGAAGAAAAACGACAUACUUUGCAGCUAUUCUACAUGAUGUAAGUUGCCCCACGAGAGAGAAUGGCUCAGCUAAUGAAAUAACCUUUAAUGCUACCUGGACUCCAUGUUUUGCCUUGGUAUUUAGUCCACCAGGCACCUCUGGCAGAUUUGUGCCCACCGGGCUCAAAAAUAACUGGGAGGAAUUUCUGAGGCUCUUGGUCCAUUCCACAAGAGAAAAAAAGCAAAGGCCCUUCUGCCAUCACAUUUUAUACUCUGCCUGUCCAACCUAAAAUAAGCAGCAAGUUAUUGGUUCAUAUGCUAUUUUGAAGUAUGCAUGUUCAAUAAAAGGCAAAAGAUUGCCCAAGGCAUAU
Molecule: long non-coding RNA, 855 nt
Organism: Carcharodon carcharias (great white shark)
Lineage: Eukaryota; Metazoa; Chordata; Chondrichthyes; Lamniformes; Lamnidae
Exons: 4
Source: RefSeq, a predicted model, not a curated record